This 455-nucleotide ribosomal RNA is filed under the name uncultured Sphingobacteriales bacterium. Its description in RNAcentral is "bacterial SSU rRNA". It matches the Rfam family "Bacterial small subunit ribosomal RNA", at positions 925 to 1382 of the family's 1533-position model. The record is from RNAcentral. Lineage: Bacteria; Pseudomonadati; Bacteroidota; Sphingobacteriia; Sphingobacteriales.
ACAAGCGGUGGAGCAUGUGGUUUAAUUCGAUGAUACGCGAGGAACCUUACCUGGGCUCAAAUGUAUGUUGACGUAUUCUGAAAGGGAUACUUCUUCGGACAAUAUACAAGGUGCUGCAUGGUUGUCGUCAGCUCGUGCCGUGAGGUGUCGGGUUAAGUCCCAUAACGAGCGCAACCCCUACCUUUAGUUGCCAUCAGGUUAAGCUGGGGACUCUAAAGGAACUGCCUACGCAAGUAGUGAGGAAGGCGGGGAUGACGUCAAAUCAGCACGGCCCUUACGUCCAGGGCUACACACGUGCUACAAUGGCCGAUACAGAGGGCAGCUACCUGGUGACAGGAUGCAAAUCUCCAAAGUCGGUCUCAGUUCGGAUCGGAGUCUGCAACCCGACUCCGUGAAGUUGGAUUCGCUAGUAAUCGCGCAUCAGCCAUGGCGCGGUGAAUACGUUCCCGGGCCUU